This 51-nucleotide transfer RNA is filed under the name Cobetia sp. Its description in RNAcentral is "tRNA-Ser". It matches the Rfam family "tRNA", at positions 25 to 71 of the family's 71-position model. Rfam says of the family: Transfer RNA (tRNA) molecules are approximately 80 nucleotides in length. The record is from RNAcentral. Lineage: Bacteria; Pseudomonadati; Pseudomonadota; Gammaproteobacteria; Oceanospirillales; Halomonadaceae.
AACUGACUUGUAAUCAGUAGGUCGAGGGUUCGACUCCUUUAGCCGGCACCA